Molecule: transfer RNA, 74 nt
Filed under: Nesterenkonia alkaliphila
Lineage: Bacteria; Bacillati; Actinomycetota; Actinomycetes; Micrococcales; Micrococcaceae
Description: tRNA-Ala
Rfam family: tRNA
About the family: Transfer RNA (tRNA) molecules are approximately 80 nucleotides in length. Their secondary structure includes four short double-helical elements and three loops (D, anti-codon, and T loops).
Source: RNAcentral
GGGGCAUUGGCGCAGCUGGUAGCGCACUUGCAUGGCAUGCAAGGGGUCAUCGGUUCGAGUCCGAUAUGCUCCAC